GACGAACGCUGGCGGCGUGCUUAACACAUGCAAGUCGAACGAUGAAGCCCAGCUUGCUGGGUGGAUUAGUGGCGAACGGGUGAGUAACACGUGGGCAACCUGCCCCAAACUCUGGGAUAACUCCUCGAAAGAGGUGCUAAUACCGGAUACGAACUAGGUAGACAUCUGCACUAGUUGGAAAGUUUUUCGGUUUGGGAUGGGCCCGCGGCCUAUCAGCUUGUUGGUGAGGUAACGGCUCACCAAGGCUACGACGGGUAACCGGCCUGAGAGGGCGACCGGUCACACUGGGACUGAGACACGGCCCAGACUCCUACGGGAGGCAGCAGUGGGGAAUAUUGCGCGAUGGGCGAAAGCCUGACGCAGCGACGCCGCGUGAGGGAUGAAGGUCUUCGGAUCAUAAGCCUCUUUCAGUAGGGACGAAGCGAAAGUGACGGUACCUAAAGAAGAAGCACCGGCUAACUACGUGCCAGCCGCCGCAGUAA
Molecule: ribosomal RNA, 482 nt
Filed under: uncultured bacterium
Lineage: Bacteria
Description: partial 16S ribosomal RNA
Rfam family: Bacterial small subunit ribosomal RNA
Source: RNAcentral